RNAcentral lists this ribosomal RNA (694 nucleotides) under Pseudomonas sp. RNAcentral describes it as "bacterial SSU rRNA". It matches the Rfam family "Bacterial small subunit ribosomal RNA", at positions 23 to 712 of the family's 1533-position model. The record is from RNAcentral. Lineage: Bacteria; Pseudomonadati; Pseudomonadota; Gammaproteobacteria; Pseudomonadales; Pseudomonadaceae.
CUCAGAUUGAACGCUGGCGGCAGGCCUAACACAUGCAAGUCGAGCGGAAGAGAGAAGCUUGCUUCUCAAUUCAGCGGCGGACGGGUGAGUAAUGCCUAGGAAUCUGCCUGGUAGUGGGGGACAACGUUUCGAAAGGAACGCUAAUACCGCAUACGUCCUACGGGAGAAAGCAGGGGACCUUCGGGCCUUGCGCUAUCAGAUGAGCCUAGGUCGGAUUAGCUAGUUGGUGGGGUAAUGGCUCACCAAGGCGACGAUCCGUAACUGGUCUGAGAGGAUGAUCAGUCACACUGGAACUGAGACACGGUCCAGACUCCUACGGGAGGCAGCAGUGGGGAAUAUUGGACAAUGGGCGAAAGCCUGAUCCAGCCAUGCCGCGUGUGUGAAGAAGGUCUUCGGAUUGUAAAGCACUUUAAGUUGGGAGGAAGGGCAGUAAAUUAAUACUUUGCUGUUUUGACGUUACCGACAGAAUAAGCACCGGCUAACUCUGUGCCAGCAGCCGCGGUAAUACAGAGGGUGCAAGCGUUAAUCGGAAUUACUGGGCGUAAAGCGCGCGUAGGUGGUUUGUUAAGUUGGAUGUGAAAUCCCCGGGCUCAACCUGGGAACUGCAUUCAAAACUGACAAGCUAGAGUAUGGUAGAGGGUGGUGGAAUUUCCUGUGUAGCGGUGAAAUGCGUAGAUAUAGGAAGGAACACCAG